Molecule: ribosomal RNA, 84 nt
Filed under: Burkholderia sp. AU17457
Lineage: Bacteria; Pseudomonadati; Pseudomonadota; Betaproteobacteria; Burkholderiales; Burkholderiaceae
Description: partial 16S ribosomal RNA
Rfam family: Bacterial small subunit ribosomal RNA
Source: RNAcentral
GGUCACCACGGUAGGAUUCAUGACUGGGGUGAAGUCGUAACAAGGUAGCCGUAUCGGAAGGUGCGGCUGGAUCACCUCCUUUCC